RNAcentral lists this ribosomal RNA (450 nucleotides) under uncultured Denitratisoma sp. RNAcentral describes it as "bacterial SSU rRNA". It matches the Rfam family "Bacterial small subunit ribosomal RNA", at positions 354 to 796 of the family's 1533-position model. The record is from RNAcentral. Lineage: Bacteria; Pseudomonadati; Pseudomonadota; Betaproteobacteria; Nitrosomonadales; Sterolibacteriaceae.
GUGGGGAAUUUUGGACAAUGGGCGCAAGCCUGAUCCAGCCAUUCCGCGUGAGUGAAGAAGGCCUUCGGGUUGUAAAGCUCUUUCGGCCGGGAAGAAAUCGCACGGGUUAAUACCCUGUGUGGAUGACGGUACUGGAAGAAGAAGCACCGGCUAACUACGUGCCAGCAGCCGCGGUAAUACGUAGGGUGCGAGCGUUAAUCGGAAUUACUGGGCGUAAAGGGUGCGCAGGCGGCGCCAUAAGACAGAUGUGAAAUCCCCGGGCUCAACCUGGGAACUGCGUUUGUGACUGUGGUGCUUGAGUGCGGCAGAGGGGGGUGGAAUUCCACGUGUAGCAGUGAAAUGCGUAGAGAUGUGGAGGAACACCGAUGGCGAAGGCAGCCCCCUGGGUCGACACUGACGCUCAUGCACGAAAGCGUGGGGAGCAAACAGGAUUAGAAACCCUAGUAGUCC